UACGUAGGGUGCAAGCGUUGUCCGGAAUUAUUGGGCGUAAAGAGCUCGUAGGCGGUUUGUUGCGUCGGCUGUGAAAUCCCGAGGCUCAACCUCGGGUCUGCAGUCGAUACGAGCAAACUAGAGUGUUGCAGGGGAGACUGGAAUUCCUGGUGUAGCGGUGAAAUGCGCAGAUAUCAGGAGGAACACCGGUGGCGAAGGCGGCCAUCUGGACGACAACUGACGCUGAGAUGCGAAAGCGUGGGGAGCAAACAGG
RNAcentral lists this ribosomal RNA (253 nucleotides) under uncultured bacterium. RNAcentral describes it as "partial 16S ribosomal RNA". It matches the Rfam family "Bacterial small subunit ribosomal RNA", at positions 524 to 776 of the family's 1533-position model. The record is from RNAcentral.